GGGAAGAUGGCCGAGCGGUCUAUGGCGCUGUGUUCAGGCUUGCUUGACUCGCAGUAUCGAAAGAUGCGUGGGUUCGAAUCCCACUCUUCUCA
Non-coding RNA from Emydomyces testavorans, 92 nucleotides. NCBI's taxonomy places the organism in Eukaryota, Fungi, Ascomycota, Eurotiomycetes, Onygenales, Nannizziopsiaceae. The record is from the annotation of a GenBank genome assembly.